This is a long non-coding RNA of Cervus elaphus (red deer), 464 nucleotides long. RefSeq lists it as uncharacterized. The record is from RefSeq and is a predicted model, not a curated record. The transcript is spliced from 3 exons. Lineage: Eukaryota; Metazoa; Chordata; Mammalia; Artiodactyla; Cervidae.
CCCAGGAGUGAUGAUUGAGCAUUUUCAUUAGCUGACUCAGUGCAACAACCAGGAGCCCUGUUAAACAUCUGAAAUGCAGCCUAGGGGCUGAAGAACUAGGUUCCACGUUGAUGGGAUUAGUGAAGGUGUUGGUUCUGGGAACUGAAUGGUGAAGUCUUCUGUGACUCUCCCACCAAAGAGGGUCUGAAGUCCUGAAUCCUGGUGAAUUCACUUACAUGACUUAAGAUAUCAAUUCUCCUGCCUGCUACCUACUGCCUGCUCCCUACUGCCAUGCCUGCUCCUUUCAGCCAUCACUGCCGAAAACACUGAUGGCCCUGGGAGGUCCUACUAAGCCUUGUGACCAUUGAGCAACAGGCUCAGGCUUCCCGUCACCUCCCGGAACUUCUGCCUUUGUCUGGAAAAAAUGCUAACCAGCUCCUUACAAGAGCUGUCAGUGAAGCCCCGGCCAGAGGGCCCACAAAGAC